CAUGUAGGCGGUGGUAUAUGUCGAAUGUGAAAUUCCAAGGCUCAACUUUGGAUCUGCAUUCGAAACUGCAUCACUAGAGUGCUGGAGAGGAAGUCGGAAUUCCAAGUGUAGCGGUGAAAUGCUUAGAUAUUUGGAAGAACACCAGUGGCGAAGGCGGACUUCUGGACAGCAACUGACGCUGAAAUGCGAAAGUGUGGGGAGCGAACAGGAUUAGAUACCCUGGUAGUCC
This 229-nucleotide ribosomal RNA is filed under the name uncultured bacterium. RNAcentral's name for it is "partial 16S ribosomal RNA". It matches the Rfam family "Bacterial small subunit ribosomal RNA", at positions 568 to 796 of the family's 1533-position model. The record is from RNAcentral.